Molecule: long non-coding RNA, 1084 nt
Filed under: Ficedula albicollis (Collared flycatcher)
Lineage: Eukaryota; Metazoa; Chordata; Aves; Passeriformes; Muscicapidae
Description: lncRNA (ENSFALG00000028581.1)
Source: RNAcentral
GAUUAACACAAACCUCACAGGAGAGCAAGAGAGACACAACUCCUUUCCUCCUGCUCCUUUGAUAAUGCCAGGCCACUGGAGUGCUAAACUUCAAUCUUUUGUAUACAAAAAUGCCCAAGCUUAAUUAAGAUUAUUUCUAUUCAUGCAUGAGCCAUCUGAGUCUUACCCCUUGGUUUUAACAAACAUUUUCUCCAAAGUAACUUUAGUGUAACUAAGAGUUUGGCCAUCAUCUAACUGACUGUGCACUCCAGGUCACAUCAAUUCAGCCAGCUUCCAUUUCUACUUUGUAUAAUUUAUUCUAAUGGAAAAAUGUAACUCAGUCUUUGCAGGUGAACUUCUGACUCAAGUGGAAAUCACAUUCUUCUGAGGUUCUGGAUUUUUUUCUUAUCUUAGCACUUUUAGGUCAUGAUAAAAUCCAAAUUCAGUGAUUAAAUGUAUGCUAUAUACACCCAAGACUGUAAUUUCAUGUUAGUUAUCCAGUUGUAACUAAACAUUAUGUCUUGUUGUUAAAGGGGCAAAGAGAUACUUCCUGGAGUGGAUAAGUGUGUUUUUCCAGAUAAUGGCAACCUUCUGAAACAAGCUGAACGCAGAAACUCCACAGGAGGAGGCACUUAAGGCUAGUACCAGGGAUAGUCAGCUCCCUGGGCAGAGUCAGGAGAGACAGCACUUCUUUAGGGCUGCAUUGAUGAGAGCACCCUCCACCUUAUGCAACCCCAACCCACCUGACAGGACCUCAGGAUGCAACCUGGCCACCCUGCUGUAAAAGUGCUAUUGUGGCAUGUGACAACAUAACCCCAUCACUGUGUUGGGCACCAAGGAGAAGGUUCCUCUCAAAACACCCAGAAUACCAGGUAAGAGAUGAACUCUUUUGUUAAAAACAUCCUGCUGAUAUCGAAGCAUUAACAUGGAGGGUACAUUUUCCCAAGCUGAAUUUUUUUUGUCUAAAAGAGCUGCCAGGUUGUAAUUUGUUUUAAUUAAACAAGAUGAGGCUGAUACUGGAAGGAGGCAAGCCAAUUAGUUUGGGUUGCCAAUUUUUGUUUUCCACUGUCAAAGUCUGUUAAAGGACCUUGAUAGAUUGCUGGGU